Bison bison bison is the source of this 111-nucleotide small nuclear RNA. The record is from Ensembl. Lineage: Eukaryota; Metazoa; Chordata; Mammalia; Artiodactyla; Bovidae.
UUGUGCUUACUUCAGCAACGCAAAUUUACUAAAAUUGGAACAAGACAGGGAAGAUUAGCAUGGCCCCUGCUCAAGGAUGACAGGCAAAUUCAUGAAGCAUUGGGUAUUUUU